Molecule: long non-coding RNA, 2183 nt
Organism: Lotus japonicus
Lineage: Eukaryota; Viridiplantae; Streptophyta; Magnoliopsida; Fabales; Fabaceae
Exons: 3
Source: RefSeq, a predicted model, not a curated record
UCUGCUGAGGCUUUCUCUCCCUCUGUUACACGUUUCCUGUAGUGUAGCUGAAACCUACUUCAUCAGUCCUCUCUCUGCUUUUCUCUUCCUAUCCUCUGAAGCUACGUUGUACUGAUCCAGUUUCAUGGAGCAUCCACACCCUUCAUCUUCCUUUCUCCGCCUUUUUUCCUCCUAUCAUCUGCCUUGCCGGAACCCCUCUCAGAACAUCAUCUCACUUCAUCACCUUUUGCAAAUCGUACUUCUGCUACCCUAGCUAUUUCAUGCGCUCCAUGUGCUCUACUCUUCUCUAGGUCGUCCUUCCUGUAUCUCUUUGCUGGAUUUUCCUUUGCACGGUUCAAGCUUCGAUGUAACCCUCCAUCAGUGAUCUAUUAUCUACACCCUACCUCGAAAACCAGCUAUUGAUUCUGCUUUCCAGGUUGUGUGGCUACACUCUAGAUCAGAUUUCAGAAAGCUAGCUCUUAAUUCUUCUUUACAGCUAUCAUUAACAAUCUUGACUGUUGUCGCAAUCUUUUUCUCAUAUGAGUGGAGUUACUUGGAGUUUUGUGGGUACUGCCAGAUUCAUAUCUUGAUGUUCCCCCCAAAGACAAUGGUUUCUCACUUGCUCUGACUUGAAAAAUGCCCACUGACUCUUAGGGAAGUAAAAAAUAGGGCUUCUCUGAUUGUUUCCUACUUUUUUUUACAUAUAUAGCUGUUGAAUUUAGGCUUGAGGACUAAUUGUAUUUGCUUACAUAUAUUGCUCUUGAAUUUUUUUUGCCAAUUUCUGGCAUCACACCUUCUAAGGGAUCAUCUAAUUUGUGAAUUUAUUUCUAAUCCAAGAUAUAGAUGUUCUUGUGCUGCAUUGUUAUCUUGUGCCUUUUUCAACUCUUUUUUUUUUUUGAGUUUUUUGUCAAUGAUGUCUCACAAUGUGUGGCUUUUGUACUGUGAUCAAGUUCUUUUUCAUCCAGCAAAAGAAUUUCUUCCAACAAUCCAAAAGAGGUAUUUCAUUUUCUAAUACUUCAUGUAGCUUGGUCUGACUUGCAUUUAUUUUUCUCUCUUAGAGAUGUAGACAGAGUUGUUUCUUCUUAUGUCAUUUUCUUCUACUCAUUGAUGUUGCUUUUGUUUCAUAGUAAUUAGUUUGCUGAUAACUAUAGUUUAAACAGUUAAUGACUUAGAUUUAAAUAGUUAAAUGAUUUGUAAUCAUACAUGAUGGUGUUUAAAUUUAAUCAAUGUGGUCGUCUGACCCCAUUUGCUGAAGAAUGGCUUUGUUGCUGUAAUGAUUUUGUCUUCUACUGCAUUGCAUUAGUUUCCUAGAUGAAGCUUUUCAUAUUAUAACCUUGAAAAUAUUUCAAGAAGUUUAAUCUUGUCAUGGUUCAAAUGUAAUUUUGACAUAUCAAACUUACGUCCAAUGUGAUACUGAAUUCCAUUGUUAAUUCCUUGCGAGAGAGAUUGAAAAGGUAUGUUAAUUCCUAAUUUUUCUAAUAUGGUAUCAUAGCUCUAAGAAUAAUGGAGCUCACCAACGAUCUGCUUCAUCAUCUUCGUGCCACCCGCGGUAGAGUCUUUAAACAUUCUUGUCGUCGAACCGCUGCCAGACUCUCCUCCUUCAGUUUCUUAGAUCUCACGACCAAUCUUAGGGUCGUGAUUUCCCCAGAUUCAUUUUCUUUGUCAUCAUCUUCUGAUUCUGUCAUGGAGCAAGUAGCAUCUGUGAAGCAAGGAAACCUGCAUCUGAUACUUUUAUCAUCAGUUAACUUCAAUGACUUAUUGAUUUCGACACAAUAAAUAUUGGCUCUUGAAGAAACUAAAUGUUUUUUAUCUUGAGUAACUUCGAUGAUUUAUUGAUCAACACUGUGAAGAAGACACAAAGUACUCUGAUGAAGAAUUCAGUCAUAGAGCAAAUUGAACUCAUGGCCAUCCAGAAUUCAAGAAUCAACAAACCAUGUGUUGGGGAUUUUGCCACCGAGGGAUAAAUGUCUUUGCGAUCUUUUCGAAAUAUAUGAGGAUAAUUGCACACAAAAUUCUUGGGCUUAUUGUUGAUUAUGAAUCAUAGGCAAUGUCAAGUGGAUAAGGUGCUGAGUUUCAGAGUAUUAUUGUAAUCUGCAUUAUUUUUUGAACAUGUAAUCUGCAUCAUUAGUAUUUCUAUAUGUGCUUGUAACACUGAAACCCUAAUUAUUGUAUUUAUAACGAAUCAAUAAACAGAAUUAUAGCUG